Molecule: ribosomal RNA, 253 nt
Filed under: uncultured bacterium
Lineage: Bacteria
Description: partial 16S ribosomal RNA
Rfam family: Bacterial small subunit ribosomal RNA
Source: RNAcentral
UACGGAGGUCCCAAGCGUUGUUCGGAUUCAUUGGGCGUAAAGGGUGCGUAGGCGGCGCGGUAAGUCGGGUGUGAAAUCUCGGGGCUUAACUCCGAAACUGCAUUCGAUACUGCCGUGCUUGAGGACUGGAGAGGAGACUGGAAUUUACGGUGUAGCGGUGAAAUGCGUAGAUAUCGUAAGGAAGACCAGUGGCGAAGGCGGGUCUCUGGACAGUUCCUGACGCUGAGGCACGAAGGCCAGGGGAGCAAACGGG